UGGUCUUCUUGCCUAGGGAAUGGAGUGUGAGUGAGUAGAUCGCGAAAGGAUAUUGAAGAUGGCAUCGACGGAAGGGCUUGUGCCCAUCACCAGGGCUUUUCUAGCAUCUUAUUACGACAAAUAUCCUUUUCCUCCUCUUUCGGGCGACGUUUCUCGGCUUUACUCUGACAUGGCGUCGCUUAUUCAGCUACUAGCCCUCCAAUCUCCUCCUUCACAAGCUUCCCUAAUCGAGGAAGCGAACCGAGAGCCUCCUCACAAGAUUGAUGAGAAUAUGUGGAAAAAUAGGGAGCAGAUGGAGGAGAUAUUGUUUCUUCUGCAACCAUCUCGUUGGCCUGUUCAGCUUCGGGAAGAUGAUGCUGAAUUAUCUUCCACUUUGAGACAUGUCAAGGACAAUUUUGAUAAAGCUCUGACUGCUAUGAUUUCCUUCCAAACGAAAAACUCUGAGCGCAUUUUUAGCACUGUUAUGACCUACAUGCCUCAAGAUUUCCGUGGAACGCUUAUCAGACAGCAGAAAGAGAGGUCGGAGAGGAACAGACAGGCCGAGGUUGAUGCCUUGGUUAGCUCUGGAGGGACCAUACGCGACACAUAUGCUCUUCUUUGGAAGCAGCAGAUGGAGCGGAGGAGACAGUUGGCUCAGCUAGGCUCUGCCACUGGUGUCUACAAAACUCUCGUCAAGUACUUGGUAGGAGUUCCACAGGUGUUGUUGGAUUUUAUUCGUCAAAUAAAUGAUGAUGAUGGGCCAAUGGAAGAACAACGAGAACGUUAUGGACCUCACCUAUACAAUCUCACAAAAAUGGUGACGGCUAUCCGGGUUUCCUUAACACUUCUUUGGGAAAGAUAUGAUACUUUCAAACUGAAUAAAAACCAAAUGAAUCUCCUCUCUGAAGCUGUUAUCGUCUACACAUCUGAGUUUGAAAGAUUCAUCACGUUUAUCAGCGAUGUAUUUGCCAAUUCCCCCUUCUUCAUUUCAGCAGAUACCGCUGGGACAUUGGGCUCCAGGGAAAAUGAGGAGUACAAGGAGAUAAUCGUUCAAGCUGGGAGAACCUAUGAGGUGUCAUUGAUGGUGGAAUCCGAAAAUUCGUAUAUUGCUUGGGAUUUUUCUUUGGUGCAAGGCAAGAUUAGCAUGGAUAUUGGAUUUUGCGUGGAGUACAUAAGUGCUUCAGGGGAAAUGACUGUGACUUAUAUUACCUUACCAUCGAUAUGAAGCUGACCAGGGAAACUUCUCUACGCUAAUGGCUGGAAACUACAAACUUGUUUGGGAUAAUUCGUAUUCAUCUUUCUUCAGAAAGACUCUUCGAUAUAAAGUAGAUUGCAUUCCGCCAGUAGUGGAGCCGACAAACUGAAAGUGGAAGCUGAAGGUGGAUCAGAGGCAUGAAAACUCAUCAUUUUUUGUACAAAGACAAGACUCUGACCUUCUGAAAGACAUGAAUGGAAAAUCAUGACCUCUUAUGUGACUAUUUUGUUUGCAGAGGAGGAAGUGAAAAGUGGCUAUGUAAGUUAAUUGCCCUACUAGAUUCUUUGGUAUUUGUGAGUCUGAAUUAUUUGCAAGUAUUUCCAAAUUUUCAAGAAUUAUAUGUUAAAUAAUAUUUUAAAGUU
Brassica oleracea var. oleracea is the source of this 1596-nucleotide RNA transcript. RefSeq lists it as uncharacterized. The record is from RefSeq and is a predicted model, not a curated record. Lineage: Eukaryota; Viridiplantae; Streptophyta; Magnoliopsida; Brassicales; Brassicaceae. The transcript has 15 exons.